Molecule: non-coding RNA, 213 nt
Organism: Cinara cedri
Lineage: Eukaryota; Metazoa; Arthropoda; Insecta; Hemiptera; Aphididae
Source: the annotation of a GenBank genome assembly
GCUCGCAACUUCUUAUCAUUCUUUAGGCCGCUAUAUCGCGUACGACCUUUCGGCGUCAUAUCCAGCUGCCGUCGAGUUCUGCACAGAAGGCCCCGUUGACGACGUUACCGUCGCCAUUGCCGUUCGUCGGCGAGCGACCGAUCGCGCGCCGUAUUUCGCGGUUCGCGCCUAGGUUCGAAAAAAAUAUUAUAAACCAUUCCGAACGCGUGAUCC